RNAcentral lists this long non-coding RNA (2786 nucleotides) under Cicer arietinum (chickpea). RNAcentral's name for it is "long non-coding RNA (CARI_LNC000510)". The record is from RNAcentral. Lineage: Eukaryota; Viridiplantae; Streptophyta; Magnoliopsida; Fabales; Fabaceae.
CUCCGAGCCAAAAUCCAAACUACACCAAAAAUACAUAAUUGGUAGUUUAAAAUUAUGGGUCUUACAUAUCCCAAGGGCACCUCAAGCGCAUUCUGGCAGGUCUAGUGCAGAAAUGCAUCCUAAGCGCUGGAUUCGCGCUUCAAGCGCACAACAUCUUCGGUCUGGCGUUUAGUGCAUAUUUCUCCUCUUUUGAGUCCGAAUUUGAUUUUGGUGGCUUCAUAAAGUUGUAGCUAUGGAGCGUAGCUUGCAUAUGCACUUGAUUUGACUCCAAUUGGACAUCUAUAACUUCAGAUAUGACUGAAAUACUCUACAUAGGUCAUGUUGAUUUCUCACCAAAAUUCAGCUCUACACUAAAACAAUAUAACAACGUAAAACUACGAAAUAUCUCUACUUACUCAAGGAAAUAACAUUAUAAAAUUUCAUUAAAUCAAAGAAUUAAAAUCAACCAAAUAUAUCAAAUAACUCCUUAAAUUAAUUAAUGAAUAAAAAAUAAAUAAGACUAAAAACAAUAAAAAAUAUGCAUAUGAUAAAGAGUCGUCACAACCCCAAACUUAAUAUAUUGUUUGUCCCCAAUCAACAAUUAAUUUCAUAUUUGGUACAUUUAAAAGCAAACUUAAAUUCAAUUUUUCAAAUCAAAUCAAACUUAAUUCUCAAAGCUCCAGCUACUACAAAACAUUCAUCAUGCUCCAUGGUUGCUUAAAAAAACACACACACACAAUUUGUACACUUUAGCAUUCCUUCAUCAAGUUCUUCAUACAAUUUCACCAAAAUUUCUCUCAAGUGUUUAGCAAGGGUUAUGAAUUUAUCACUCAAAUUCUAGAACAUGCAUCACACUACCAUAGCCUUGAAAAAAAUUAUAAUUAGCAAUCACAAUGCAACAAACACAUACACUUUUGGAGAACUUUCGAGUUGUAAUGCGACUUAGGUAAGGGUAGCACAUUUUGGGAUUGUAAGCUUUACUAUUUUGAGUUAGGUACACAUUUCCAAAUUAUUCUACCAUUUUUUUUCUUCACAUUUUCAUUGUGGAGAUUCUCAAACAUUGACAAAAGAACCAAAAAGAUGUUAUUUAUCAAAGUACACAAAUUAAUUUUUUUUUCUUCUUCUUUUUUAUCUUUUUUUUUUUAAUUUAUUUUAUUUAUGAGAAUCACCACCCCAAACUUAAAAAGUUGUUAUCCCAUGAGCAACUCCAAAACUUAGAAUUUUACUAAGAUGAGACAAAAGUUUUCCUACAUACCUCCAAGUAAGGUGAUUGAACUAAAGUCAGACCUUUAGCUUGUAAUGUGGCUAGUAACCAAAAGAAAGGGCAAGACUCAAAGGUGCUAGAAAAUGAUAAAAUUUGUAUAUGAUAGUUAAAAAGGCUCAAGCGACCAAAUAAAAUUGCCUCAAUAUAUGCAUAAAUUACAAGUGAUGCAAGUUAGAAUUAGUGCAAGUUCUGAAGGGAUGACUUAUGUUUGGAUAAUCACACAACAAAGAAUUAAAGUGUUUAGGCCCAAAAUCUCACAUCUAAGAUAAUAAGAGAGAGUAUGAAUUGUCAAAAUAAUGCCAAACAUGCCACUGCAAAAGUUAUUUAUUUAUUUUUUAAAAAAUGGCAAGUGAUACCUUGACAAUCAAGGAGUAAUCAACAAUGCAUGCAUUAGUGAAGCUUAUCAAGUUGAGCAAUGAUAUGAGCAAAGAAAUAGAGUUUAAAUUUCAAAAUCUCAAACAGGAAACUUAAGACCAAAUGCAAGUUGUUAACAAUUCUUCAUCAUAGUGCACGUUAACACACAAUUAAAAAGAGACAAAUUCAAAUAACAAAAAUAAGAUUGCAAAAAUAAAAGUUACCUCUACUUGUAGAUUGCCUCCUAAGAAGCGCUUCUUUAAAGUCAUUAGCUUGACGCCUCAACUAUUGUCAAAGUGGCAUAUAUUGAAGUUGAAAUAACAAUGUCAAUUAUAAGGAAGGGGGUUUGAAUUAUAAUUGCCCCUUUUUAAAAAUUCUUGUUUCAAACUGAAAGUUUAACUCAAGAUUGAUCUUGGUUAGUAAAAAACAACAAUAUCAAUUUUAUAAAUAUAAAAUCUGAUUGUAAAGCAUAAAAUAAAUAGAGAUAGAGAUAGAGAGAUCACACACGCAUAUAUCCUGAUUCAUCCAAACACGGAUUACGUCCAGUCCUUACAAAUGUGAGAUUUUCCACUAUGUGCUCAAGGCAAGAUUGUUCUUGAUUGUCACACAAUUUUUCACAGAUCAAUCAUGAUCUUUACACAGUUUCUACCUCUCUACCUAGAAAGGAUUUCCUCAGGUUUACCUUACACUAUUUCAAAAAGGAUUUUGCAAGUUACCUUUUAAAAUAUAAAAGGAUUUUUACACACUACUCAAGCUAUGUUAACAAAAUAGCCUUGAGUUAUAAAGUAUGAUUUUGAGAAUGUUAGAAUUUGGGUAUUGCUCAACUCUUGUUUGAGAAAUAGAUUCUAUAAUUAGAACUCAGUUAGUAUUGAUUCUAUCACAACACAAAGAGUAAAACUGCAAGCUAAAGAAAGAUUUCGAGACACUUGAGUAUGAUUGAAUGAUUGAUGCUUUUCUUGGCACUUUGAGUUGUGUUUUGUUCUUUAUCUUGAAGCUGUAUUUAUAGGCUUCAAUAGAGCUUUAGGAUAGCUCAUAUAUCCGUUGAAAUAGGGCCAAUUGUCAUAAAGAAGUUGAUGGAUAAAGUCAGUCAUAAAGCAAUAGCGUUUAUACUGAAUCCAGGAACGUUCUUGACAUUCAAGAUCAUUCUUCGAAUUUGUUGGAGAUGAGUUGACUUGUACUUGAGCUUCUG